Sander lucioperca (pikeperch) is the source of this 1507-nucleotide RNA transcript. It is a transcript of the gene named zinc finger protein 862-like, with no coding region annotated. The transcript is spliced from 4 exons. NCBI's taxonomy places the organism in Eukaryota, Metazoa, Chordata, Actinopteri, Perciformes, Percidae. The record is from RefSeq and is a predicted model, not a curated record.
UUUAAUAACACCUACAUUUUUACUUAAAUUAUUUGUAUAAUAUUACAGCUCAUCUUCAUUUUUCAAAGGGACAAGUGCCUUCAGACAUGACACACUGCUGUCCCACGGGAUCAGCAAACGCCACCAGCACUGUGCUGUUGCUGAGAAAGCAAAAGGUCCUCAUGCAAAAGUGCCAACUGUAGUCCAAGCAGUACAAAAAAUGGACCCGGCAUUGUUUAAUAAAAUGAAGAAUGUUAUGCACACAGCCUAUUACAUUGCAAAAGAGGAGCAACCCUUCACUCAAUUUCCUGAACUUCAUGGGCUCAUCAACAGGACCGGUGGGACACUCCCAGACAGCUACAAUUCAGACAAAGCUUGCACUCGCUUCAUUUGUAACAUAUAUGAUGUGGAGUGGGAAAAGCUCAUGGAGAAGUUGAGGAAUGCCAAACACUUCUCCAUCAUGAUUGAUGGGGCAACUGAUGGUGGCAACAUUGAAAAUGAAGCUGUCUAUGUCCGCUUCAUGGCAGACGAAGGUCCAGUAAAUGCUUUCCUCUCCAUUCAGGUUGUUAAGCAAGGAAAUGCUUCUGGGAUCCUGGAUGCCAUAUAUGCAGCAUUUGAAGAAGCUGGCAUUGAUGACUUGAAGGACCGGCUAGUGGGAUUUGGCAGCGAUGGAGCAGCAGUCAAUGUCGGAUGCAGGAAUUGGGUGGCAGCGCAGCUUCUGAGGGACAUCCCAUACCUCAUCUCCAUACACUGCGUAGCUCAUCGCCUGGAGCUGGGUGUGACUAAAGCAAUUAAAGAAAAUACCAACAUGGGUCGGCUUCAGAAUACACUGAAGAACCUAUAUGACCAGUACCACUACUCCCCCAAGGCUCUCAGGGAGCUUCACCAGAUUGCUGAGGCCCUGGAGGAGAAGGUACUGAAGCCAUCCAACCUCCAUGGUGCCCGAUGGCUACCAUAUGUGCAUCGUGCAACAACGGUCAGUGCUAAAUUAACUACAGCUUUUUCAGCAGAUAUUAUUAAUGAGUAAUGCCAAAUGGAUAUUAUGUAUUAAUAAUUCUCUUUUUUUGUAGAUUUUAUGUGAUAGUUACUCUGUCCUCCUGGCCCAUUUUGAGGACAUGGCAAGCAUGGAAAGGAGCCCCAUACCAUCACCAGCUGUUGUUGGAAGAGCGAAACAAGUCACUGGGUAUCUCAAGAACCUGCACCAUUUAAUCUUUCUACACUUCAUGUGUGACACACUUGAUCAUCUUGCUCUUUUGAGCAAAGACAACAACACAGUGUGUCAAGUGGUUGAAAGCCUGGAGACAUUUUACUGGAACCUGACUGCACUCAAGACAGAAAUGGGUCCACAGAUGGCCAAAGUCUACAAGGCAGUGAAGACCAAUGGGGAAUACAGAGGAGUGCAGUUCCAGGUUUGACAUGCAGUUCCGAGCUUGGAAGCAGAACGAGCUGCAGUGAUUGAUGCCAUCAUCUUUCACUUAGAGGAGAAGCUGAGGGACCUUCAAAGGGGCAGUCCAGUCAGUAAAUUUAA